UACGUAGGUCCCGAGCGUUGUCCGGAUUUAUUGGGCGUAAGGCGAGCGCAGGUGGUUUAUUAAGUCUGGUGUAAAAGGCAGUGGCUCAACCAUUGUAUGCAUUGGAAACUGGUAGACUUGAGUGCAGGAGAGGAGAGUGGAAUUCCAUGUGUAGCGGUGAAAUGCGUAGAUAUAUGGAGGAACACCGGUGGCGAAAGCGGCUCUCUGACCUGUAACUGACACUGAGGCUCGAAAGCGUGGGGAGCAAACAGG
This 252-nucleotide ribosomal RNA is filed under the name uncultured bacterium. Its description in RNAcentral is "partial 16S ribosomal RNA". It matches the Rfam family "Bacterial small subunit ribosomal RNA", at positions 524 to 776 of the family's 1533-position model. The record is from RNAcentral.